This 253-nucleotide ribosomal RNA is filed under the name uncultured bacterium. RNAcentral describes it as "partial 16S ribosomal RNA". It matches the Rfam family "Bacterial small subunit ribosomal RNA", at positions 524 to 776 of the family's 1533-position model. The record is from RNAcentral.
UACGUAGGGUGCGAGCGUUAAUCGGAAUUACUGGGCGUAAAGCGUGCGCAGGCGGUUCGUUGUGUCGGCGGUGAAAGCCCCGGGCUUAACCUGGGAAUGGCCGUUGAAACUGGCGAACUGGAGUGUGGCAGAGGGGGGUGGAAUUCCACGUGUAGCAGUGAAAUGCGUAGAGAUGUGGAGGAACACCGAUGGCGAAGGCAGCCCCCUGGGCUGAGAUUGACGCUCAGGCACGAAAGCGUGGGGAGCAAACAGG